Molecule: ribosomal RNA, 253 nt
Filed under: uncultured bacterium
Lineage: Bacteria
Description: partial 16S ribosomal RNA
Rfam family: Bacterial small subunit ribosomal RNA
Source: RNAcentral
UACGGGGGGGGCAAGCGUUGUUCGGAAUUACUGGGCGUAAAGGGCUCGUAGGCGGCCAACUAAGUCGGAUGUGAAAUCCCCAGGCUCAACCUGGGAACUGCAUCCGAUACUGGAUGGCUUGAAUUCGGGAGAGGGAUGCAGAAUUCCAGGUGUAGCGGUGAAAUGCGUAGAUAUCGGGAAGAACACCCGUGGCGAAGGCGGUUCUCUGGGACGGUACUGACGCUGAGACGCGAAAGCGUGGGGAGCGAACAGG